Molecule: long non-coding RNA, 325 nt
Filed under: Carica papaya (papaya)
Lineage: Eukaryota; Viridiplantae; Streptophyta; Magnoliopsida; Brassicales; Caricaceae
Description: long non-coding RNA (CPAP_LNC001234)
Source: RNAcentral
UGAGAGACCACGUUCCCGGUAGGGUUCCAUACGGACCCGGUCCGUCCACCAUCUCCCAGGAUAUCUAGUCAGGCUGUCCACAUUAUCCACUUAUCAAUUCACAUAACUUUUUUGCCCUUUUUCUUGGUUUCAAUCAUCCAAACACACACAACAUGUAAACCAGUAAUGGACACCAAAUAAGACAACACAGUAUCGGGUUCAUCAUAAUACAAACCAUAAUAAAAGAAACCAUGAUUCAUGCAUACGAGACCAUAACGUAAUUACAUCAAACAUCAUGCUGCAUUUAAUAUUAGAAAUUAAAUCAAACAAUAAAUACCAACACUGU